Molecule: ribosomal RNA, 468 nt
Filed under: uncultured bacterium
Lineage: Bacteria
Description: partial 16S ribosomal RNA
Rfam family: Bacterial small subunit ribosomal RNA
Source: RNAcentral
GACGAACGCUGGCGGCGUGCUUAACACAUGCAAGUCGAACGGAAAGGCCCUGCUUUUGUGGGGUGCUCGAGUGGCGAACGGGUGAGUAACACGUGAGUAACCUGCCCUUGACUUUGGGAUAACUUCAGGAAACUGGGGCUAAUACCGGAUAGGAGCUCCUGCUGCAUGGUGGGGGUUGGAAAGUUUCGGCGGUUGGGGAUGGACUCGCGGCUUAUCAGCUUGUUGGUGGGGUAGUGGCUUACCAAGGCUUUGACGGGUAGCCGGCCUGAGAGGGUGACCGGGCACAUUGGGACUGAGAUACGGCCCAGACUGCUACGGGAGGCAGCAGUGGGGAAGAUUGCACAAUGGGCGGAAGCCUGAUGCAGCAACGCCGCGUGCGGGAUGACGGCCUUCGGGUUGUGAACCGCUUUCGCCUGUGACGAAGCGUGAGUGACGGUAAUGGGUAAAGAAGCACCGGCUAACUACGUG